RNAcentral lists this ribosomal RNA (431 nucleotides) under Lodderomyces parapsilosis. RNAcentral describes it as "eukaryotic LSU rRNA". The stretch from base 127 to 280 matches the Rfam family "5.8S ribosomal RNA". Lineage: Eukaryota; Fungi; Ascomycota; Pichiomycetes; Serinales; Debaryomycetaceae. The record is from RNAcentral.
UUUUUUCUUACACAUGUGUUUUUCUUUUUUUGAAAACUUUGCUUUGGUAGGCCUUCUAUAUGGGGCCUGCCAGAGAUUAAACUCAACCAAAUUUUAUUUAAUGUCAACCGAUUAUUUAAUAGUCAAAACUUUCAACAACGGAUCUCUUGGUUCUCGCAUCGAUGAAGAACGCAGCGAAAUGCGAUAAGUAAUAUGAAUUGCAGAUAUUCGUGAAUCAUCGAAUCUUUGAACGCACAUUGCGCCCUUUGGUAUUCCAAAGGGCAUGCCUGUUUGAGCGUCAUUUCUCCCUCAAACCCUCGGGUUUGGUGUUGAGCGAUACGCUGGGUUUGCUUGAAAGAAAGGCGGAGUAUAAACUAAUGGAUAGGUUUUUUCCACUCAUUGGUACAAACUCCAAAACUUCUUCCAAAUUCGACCUCAAAUCAGGUAGGACU